ACGCCCUACGGGACGCAGCAGUGGGGAAUAUUGGACAAUGGGGGGAACCCUGAUCCAGCGACGCCGCGUGAGUGAAGAAGUAUUUCGGUAUGUAAAGCUCUAUCAGCAGGGAAGAAAGAAAUGACGGUACCUGACUAAGAAGCCCCGGCUAACUACGUGCCAGCAGCCGCGGUAAUACGUAGGGGGCAAGCGUUAUCCGGAUUUACUGGGUGUAAAGGGAGCGUAGACGACGAUGCAAGUCUGAAGUAAAAGGCGGGGGCCCAACCCCCGGACUGCUUUGGAAACUGUAUAGCUGGAGUGCAGGG
This 305-nucleotide ribosomal RNA is filed under the name uncultured bacterium. RNAcentral describes it as "bacterial SSU rRNA". It matches the Rfam family "Bacterial small subunit ribosomal RNA", at positions 334 to 653 of the family's 1533-position model. The record is from RNAcentral.